UUUCGUAAAAAAAAUUUUAAAUACAAUUUUGUUGAGCUACCCAGUGCGUCACUCCAAUUUGUAGGUUAUCAUACCACGUGCUACAAAAAAGUGACUGUUUUGAAUAAAAAAUAUAACGAAGAAUUUCUUAAAUUUAUCGCUGAAUAUACAGAGCAUACCGAUGUAUCUACUACUGAAGAAGAACCACAACAGUUGAAUCCUAGUGUCGAUUCCUGUACUACAGUUGCUGAGGAUGAAACGAGUAAUGUUGAAGACCUGCCUCAAACUUCUGGGGGCUUUGACAAGGAGCAGUCAACAUCAACAGCAUCGACAUCAACAGCAACGACAUCAACAGCAUCGACAUCAA
Long non-coding RNA from Cotesia glomerata, 346 nucleotides. RefSeq lists it as uncharacterized. Lineage: Eukaryota; Metazoa; Arthropoda; Insecta; Hymenoptera; Braconidae. The transcript has 3 exons. The record is from RefSeq and is a predicted model, not a curated record.